RNAcentral lists this ribosomal RNA (422 nucleotides) under uncultured bacterium. Its description in RNAcentral is "bacterial SSU rRNA". It matches the Rfam family "Bacterial small subunit ribosomal RNA", at positions 355 to 774 of the family's 1533-position model. The record is from RNAcentral.
UGGGGAAUAUUGGACAAUGGAUGGAAAUCUGAUCCAGCCAUGCCGCGUGAAGGACGACGGUCCUAUGGAUUGUAAACUUCUUUUGUAUGGGAGCAAUAAGGUCUACGUGUAGAUCGAUGAGAGUACCAUACGAAUAAGCAUCGGCUAACUCCGUGCCAGCAGCCGCGGUAAUACGGAGGAUGCGAGCGUUAUCCGGAUUUAUUGGGUUUAAAGGGUGCGUAGGCGGUUGUAUAAGUCAGCGGUGAAAUUUUCCGGCUUAACCGGGAGACUGCCGUUGAUACUGUAUAGCUUGAAUACGGUUGCUGUGAGUGGAAUGUGUGGUGUAGCGGUGAAAUGCAUAGAUAUCACACAGAAUAUCGAUUGCGAAGGCAGCUCACAAAGCCGUUAUUGACGCUGAUGCACGAAAGUGUGGGGAUCAAACA